Molecule: non-coding RNA, 97 nt
Organism: Nemania sp. FL0031
Lineage: Eukaryota; Fungi; Ascomycota; Sordariomycetes; Xylariales; Xylariaceae
Source: the annotation of a GenBank genome assembly
UCCGAAUUGGUGUAGUGGCUAACAUUUGACGCUCUCAUCUUCACUUUGGUGGCGACCGGGUACCGUCAAGCCCGGGGUUCGAUUCCCCGAUUCGGAG